GGGUUGUGAGGUUAAGCGACUAAGCGUACACGGUGGAUGCCCUGGCAGUCAGAGGCGAUGAAGGACGUGCUAAUCUGCGAUAAGCGUCGGUAAGGUGAUAUGAACCGUUAUAACCGGCGAUUUCCGAAUGGGGAAACCCAGUGUGUUUCGACACACUAUCAUUAACUGAAUCCAUAGGUUAAUGAGGCGAACCGGGGGAACUGAAACAUCUAAGUACCCCGAGGAAAAGAAAUCAACCGAGAUUCCCCCAGUAGCGGCGAGCGAACGGGGAGCAGCCCAGAGCCUGAAUCAGUGUGUGUGUUAGUGGAAGCGUCUGGAAAGGCGCGCGAUACAGGGUGACAGCCCCGUACACAAAAAUGCACAUAUUGUGAGCUCGAUGAGUAGGGCGGGACACGUGGUAUCCUGUCUGAAUAUGGGGGGACCAUCCUCCAAGGCUAAAUACUCCUGACUGACCGAUAGUGAACCAGUACCGUGAGGGAAAGGCGAAAAGAACCCCGGCGAGGGGAGUGAAAAAGAACCUGAAACCGUGUACGUACAAGCAGUGGGAGCACGCUUAGGCGUGUGACUGCGUACCUUUUGUAUAAUGGGUCAGCGACUUAUAUUCUGUAGCAAGGUUAACCGAAUAGGGGAGCCGAAGGGAAACCGAGUCUUAACUGGGCGUUAAGUUGCAGGGUAUAGACCCGAAACCCGGUGAUCUAGCCAUGGGCAGGUUGAAGGUUGGGUAACACUAACUGGAGGACCGAACCGACUAAUGUUGAAAAAUUAGCGGAUGACUUGUGGCUGGGGGUGAAAGGCCAAUCAAACCGGGAGAUAGCUGGUUCUCCCCGAAAGCUAUUUAGGUAGCGCCUCGUGAAUUCAUCUCCGGGGGUAGAGCACUGUUUCGGCAAGGGGGUCAUCCCGACUUACCAACCCGAUGCAAACUGCGAAUACCGGAGAAUGUUAUCACGGGAGACACACGGCGGGUGCUAACGUCCGUCGUGAAGAGGGAAACAACCCAGACCGCCAGCUAAGGUCCCAAAGUCAUGGUUAAGUGGGAAACGAUGUGGGAAGGCCCAGACAGCCAGGAUGUUGGCUUAGAAGCAGCCAUCAUUUAAAGAAAGCGUAAUAGCUCACUGGUCGAGUCGGCCUGCGCGGAAGAUGUAACGGGGCUAAACCAUGCACCGAAGCUGCGGCAGCGACGCUUAUGCGUUGUUGGGUAGGGGAGCGUUCUGUAAGCCUGUGAAGGUGUGCUGUGAGGCAUGCUGGAGGUAUCAGAAGUGCGAAUGCUGACAUAAGUAACGAUAAAGCGGGUGAAAAGCCCGCUCGCCGGAAGACCAAGGGUUCCUGUCCAACGUUAAUCGGGGCAGGGUGAGUCGACCCCUAAGGCGAGGCCGAAAGGCGUAGUCGAUGGGAAACAGGUUAAUAUUCCUGUACUUGGUGUUACUGCGAAGGGGGGACGGAGAAGGCUAUGUUGGCCGGGCGACGGUUGUCCCGGUUUAAGCGUGUAGGCUGGUUUUCCAGGCAAAUCCGGAAAAUCAAGGCUGAGGCGUGAUGACGAGGCACUACGGUGCUGAAGCAACAAAUGCCCUGCUUCCAGGAAAAGCCUCUAAGCAUCAGGUAACAUCAAAUCGUACCCCAAACCGACACAGGUGGUCAGGUAGAGAAUACCAAGGCGCUUGAGAGAACUCGGGUGAAGGAACUAGGCAAAAUGGUGCCGUAACUUCGGGAGAAGGCACGCUGAUAUGUAGGUGAAGUCCCUCGCGGAUGGAGCUGAAAUCAGUCGAAGAUACCAGCUGGCUGCAACUGUUUAUUAAAAACACAGCACUGUGCAAACACGAAAGUGGACGUAUACGGUGUGACGCCUGCCCGGUGCCGGAAGGUUAAUUGAUGGGGUCAGCGCAAGCGAAGCUCUUGAUCGAAGCCCCGGUAAACGGCGGCCGUAACUAUAACGGUCCUAAGGUAGCGAAAUUCCUUGUCGGGUAAGUUCCGACCUGCACGAAUGGCGUAAUGAUGGCCAGGCUGUCUCCACCCGAGACUCAGUGAAAUUGAACUCGCUGUGAAGAUGCAGUGUACCCGCGGCAAGACGGAAAGACCCCGUGAACCUUUACUAUAGCUUGACACUGAACAUUGAGCCUUGAUGUGUAGGAUAGGUGGGAGGCUUUGAAGUGUGGACGCCAGUCUGCAUGGAGCCGGCCUUGAAAUACCACCCUUUAAUGUUUGAUGUUCUAACGUGGACCCGUGAUCCGGGUUGCGGACAGUGUCUGGUGGGUAGUUUGACUGGGGCGGUCUCCUCCUAAAGAGUAACGGAGGAGCACGAAGGUUGGCUAAUCCUGGUCGGACAUCAGGAGGUUAGUGCAAUGGCAUAAGCCAGCUUGACUGCGAGCGUGACGGCGCGAGCAGGUGCGAAAGCAGGUCAUAGUGAUCCGGUGGUUCUGAAUGGAAGGGCCAUCGCUCAACGGAUAAAAGGUACUCCGGGGAUAACAGGCUGAUACCGCCCAAGAGUUCAUAUCGACGGCGGUGUUUGGCACCUCGAUGUCGGCUCAUCACAUCCUGGGGCUGAAGUAGGUCCCAAGGGUAUGGCUGUUCGCCAUUUAAAGUGGUACGCGAGCUGGGUUUAGAACGUCGUGAGACAGUUCGGUCCCUAUCUGCCGUGGGCGCUGGAGAACUGAGGGGGGCUGCUCCUAGUACGAGAGGACCGGAGUGGACGCAUCACUGGUGUUCGGGUUGUCAUGCCAAUGGCACUGCCCGGUAGCUAAAUGCGGAAGAGAUAAGUGCUGAAAGCAUCUAAGCACGAAACUUGCCCCGAGAUGAGUUCUCCCUGACCCUUUAAGGGUCCUGAAGGAACGUUGAAGACGACGACGUUGAUAGGCCGGGUGUGUAAGCGCAGCGAUGCGUUGAGCUAACCGGUACUAAUGAACCGUGAGGCUUAACCUUACAACGCCGAAG
This 2925-nucleotide ribosomal RNA is filed under the name Escherichia coli. RNAcentral describes it as "23S ribosomal RNA". It matches the Rfam family "Bacterial large subunit ribosomal RNA". Lineage: Bacteria; Pseudomonadati; Pseudomonadota; Gammaproteobacteria; Enterobacterales; Enterobacteriaceae. The record is from RNAcentral.